AAGUUAUUUAGCUUAUAAUAAAGCAAGUAUUUUGAAAAUACUAGAAAGAGAUCAUUUAAUAACUUU
This 66-nucleotide transfer RNA is filed under the name Metidiocerus sp. RNAcentral's name for it is "tRNA-Ser". The record is from RNAcentral. Lineage: Eukaryota; Metazoa; Arthropoda; Insecta; Hemiptera; Cicadellidae.